Molecule: long non-coding RNA, 2133 nt
Organism: Rosa chinensis
Lineage: Eukaryota; Viridiplantae; Streptophyta; Magnoliopsida; Rosales; Rosaceae
Exons: 3
Source: RefSeq, a predicted model, not a curated record
AUGCUCUACAUCCUGAUAGGAGCAUAAAAUGCGACGAAUUUAUAGUUUAACCCUUUACACUUUUGCUUAGUUAUUUCGUUAAAAAGAUCAAACUAACUUUGUUAUGUUCUUAGGAGGUUUGUGGAGCAACCGUGGAGAAAUAGGAGCUCAAUUGUGGCAAGUUAAGGCUUGGGUGUAUAGUAGUGAUGCAAAAGAUGAAAGAUCACCAUUUAUACAGUCAGAAACAAGAAGGAAAGCUUGUGGAAAAAUUCGUGCAAAACAGUUGCCAAGAAGAAGAAAACAGAGUACUAGAAGCUGCCUUAUUUUCUUCUGUAUUCAGAAGGUGUUUUGAAGAACUUUCCAGUGGAAUCAUGAAUAAAAGCCUAGCAAUAUUUGAAGAUCACAUGUUCUACUGUAACUACAAGCAAAUAUCUGGUCCAGAAUGAUAAAGUAGAAGCCGGAGGCUGUGGUCAAAUUUGGUACCUCGAGAAGACUGUUUCCAUCAGCUUUUCAGGAAGCUUUUUCAAGGGCUUUUCUACUACACUUACAGCAUGAUACACAUAAAGUUUCCCACCCAGAUUUGAAGUUUAGAUGUUGUAUAGAAUUUUAAAAUCAAGAAUCAUCCAGAAAGGUGGCGGAAUGCAUAAGUUAUGAUGCUGCAAAGAUGAGCAGAGGAUAAGAAAAAUCUGGAAUUUCUGACAAGUCUUAUCUGCGAAGCAUGUUUGAGCCGUCUUUGGAGACUUUAUUGGAGCAUCCUUUGGACGAUUAUUGUUUGGACGUCAAUAAAUGAUGCUAUAGGGUAUUGUAGGCCUGAGAAAUAGACAGAAAGAUUGCUAGAAAGUCAUUCUACAAGCCCAUAAAUUUGACCAAACAAUAAGGAAAAUCUGGAAAUUUCUGACAGAUUUGACUGUGAAGACUUUUCAAGGCUGUUUUUGGGAAACAAGUUGAGGGGUUCUUUAGAAUAUUUUUGCAGACUUUUGAAGACAAAUAUCAAAGCUUGUACCUGCCUGAAAAUCACGUUCAAAUCUGAGAUGGAACCUAGUUAAGAGAGGGGCUAAAAAGGCUAUCAAAAGUUAGGCAGAUUCUUUGCAUCUCUUGGCAGAUUGUGUGUAUCUAUUGGCAGAUUGCUUUAAGGCUUCUUGAGGACUCUUUGCUGAGUUGUUAAUGAGUUGUACACAUUAUAUAGGAGCUGUGAAGGAUAUAGAAGUCAAAGAUUUCAGCCCAAGAAGAAGAGUUCACAUUGGAGAAGUAAAAACUCAAUUUAACUGCAAGAAUACCCUUGAACUUGUAACUCCUAUAUAUAGGGCGUCCUUCCACAUUUUUAAGGGGGAAGAAAAUAUAGAUACACACACCAUCUACUGCCCUAAAUCAGAGACCACAGCUCCAUACUCUCCCCUCAUCAUAGUUCACGAAAUCCCCACUCCAAGGAGAAGCCGUAGCCACCAUCUUCCAUCAUCCUGUCGUGCUCUUGCUUUGAAGACGCCUCAAGCUUUCUUGGAGAAUAUUCAAAGGUAAUUUUGUGCGCUUAAUUCAGGCGUAUCACAUCCCAGUACGAUCAGUUUUUAGAUUUAAUCAACUUUUGACGAUUUUGUUUCUGGGUUGCUCUCGGCCUUGCCGUAUUCUUCGACGCCGGUGGCUUUUCGGGCAUUCCUGGGCUCCAUCUCUUGCUCAGCUGUACACCUAGCCCCCAAUCGAGAAUUCUGUCGAAUUGCUGGUGUGAAAAUCAUCAGUUCAUGACCAUUUCGGUCUCGGCAGUAGGGUUCUGGGGAUUGAGUUUGGCUCGAUUGACGUAGAUUUCUUAUUACAAAGGCUAGGUUCGGCUUGCUGUGUUCUUCGUUGGAAAGCAGACCUGCAAUUUGAGGUUCCUUUUUUAUCUAGUUGAUCACAAGGUCAGUUGGGUUCUGUUGAAGGUCUGAGAAUUUACACUUCUGGAAACUGGGCUGCCUUGUAGUAUGCAUGCUGUGAUGUUGUGUUUGAGAAGAAUAAAUUGGUAGUUAGUCAGAAGAAAUCGAAAGCUAUGUUGUGAGCUUGCUGUUUUUUCCAUGUUUGCUAAGAUUGUAGUUGUUAAAUGAUUUUGGUGAUGGAUGUUGUAGUAUGUUUCUUAUUCUGGUGAAAAUAACAAAGCAUAAAUAUGCAGGUAUGCAUUUAGUUGAA